CUACUCGAUGUGUUCCCAAAUCGGUACAGCGUCAUUCUCGAGGGUUCCAUGUGCCAUUCACUCAGUUGGAGGUUCUUCUGCAGAGCGUCCAGCACCGCUCUUCCGCCGGCAUGGAUACAGAAAUGCUCGAAUGCGAGCUUAAAAUCUGGUACGUACGGUUUUACCUUUGCUUUCAGUACUUUCCUUUUCAACAUUGAGACGAAGAAGGCGAAUUGCUCUGAAAAUGGUAGUACCAAAGGGCCUAGAGUCGUGAUGUUCGUCUUUAAUGUUUCACUUGCAACCGCCAUUAAUUCGCGCGCGAGUGAAACUCCAAUUUUCCCUUCCUCGUCCUCUUUCUGAUAAACGCAAUUAUAGCUUUCGUCGUCAGCUCCUUUGUGAGUCCGAAUCGUGUGAAUCAACUCGUAUUUUGAGCGGGAUCGAUCCGUGUGCUUGUUCGAUAACAGCACGGCGGCUCCUCCCAUCCGAAACAGACAAUUGCUAAUCAGCAUCGAACGAUCGUUACCAAAGUACCAAUUUAGGGUUAUACUUUCGGUGCUCACAACUACGGCGUACGUGUUAGGGUUAGCGUUGAGAAGGUCCUUAGCAAGCGUAAUCGAGAUAGGGCUUGCGCUACAUCCCAUUCCACUGAGAUUGUAGGCUUUAACGUCGGUUCGAAGCUUGUAGUGGUUAACGAUCAUUGCGGACAGCGAUGGUAUGGGGUUGAAUAAGCUGCAAUUGACGAUUAGAAUUCCUAUUUCACUCGGGUCCAAGCCGGUUUUCUCGAAGAGAGCAUCGAGGGCGCCGAACAUUACAGUCUCCGCUUCGAAGCGUGCUUCGUCAAGACACAAAUUCGGCGGCCGAGAAGUAAUUCCUCUCGACAAGUAGGUUUCGUCGCCAAGACCGGCUCGUUUUGCUACUUUCGACAUAAACUUAAGGGCAUCUUCUUGAAAGCCACCGUUCGCUGCACUCAUUUCCAGGAAACUGUCCACCGUCAUCUUCCUCGCGUCCGCUGGUUUGUGACAGGCAAACUCCACCAGAUAAACCGGCGUGGAUCGCUUGGAACAGUAGAAGCCAAGGAGAAAUAUCGACAGCAAACCGGCUAUGGCCGUAGUUGCAUCAAUCUCAUAUUGUAAUCUUGUGGUCGGCAGUAACUCAGAUACUCGGAAGAGUUUGAAACCGGAAAGUUGAAUAGCGAGGGAAAUAAACAGAGGCAAAAUGACGAGGAACAUAAGAGUAGUGGCAGAGUUGGAUGAGUACCCAUAUCCCAAUUUUACAUAUUUAAGCUUGACUGACUGUAGAAAGUCCGGCAAGCGUUGCCGGAUUCUGAUAAGGAUGGAAGAGGAGUCCUUAAGCUCCAUUUCUGCCGUUAAUCUCUCUGUAUCCAUCUCUAUGCUCUCCAUAUACAACGUCUUGCUAAUUUCUCUGUGGUUGUCUUUGUGGAGCACACUCUCAAAUCUCACCCCUGUUGAAGUAAACUAUGUACCAUCUUAUAUAAACACAAGGAGGCCAUUUCAGAGAAGAAGAGGGACAGUGGAAGAAAUUAAUGAAGGCAAAGACUUUCACCCUUUCACACUUCCAGAUGGUUGGGUAGUGAGAAGCACACACAUACACACACACACAGAAAGAGAGAGAGAGAGAGAGAGAGAGAGAGAGAGAGAGAGAGAGAGACAAAGAGGUAGAGAGGGUUUGGCACUUGGCGGCACCAAGCAAGAAUAGAUAUAAACAAUAGAAGAAGAGUGAAGGGAAAGAAGGAAGGAGAGGGUAUGCAGAAAAUAAAUGGGAGUAGUUCCAAGAAUGGUGAGAUAGCUCAACAACCACACACCUCUGCAAGUAAGUUGGAGAGAAAGACCUUUCUAAUAAGGAACUUAAUUAAUGGAGAAAUCCUUUUCAAAUUGUAGUGGUUUUGAGAUUGGUAGUUAGAUAUUUAUUUGCAUAUCUUCUUUAAUGACAUCUCUCUCCGUGCUCUUCUGGUUAGCUAAGCAGCCCUUAUUUGGAUUGGACAAAUAUCUAUCUCCAUGCUAAACAGAAUUCCAUCUCCGACUUAGUUCUUCCAUCUAGCUUUUGCUUCUUUUUUUUUUUUUUUUUUGCAGGUAUGAAUGAAUAUAAUUUGCCAAUGCCUGAACCUUUUUUACUCCUAAAUGUUACUCUAAUCACCAUUUUCCCUUUUUGAAGCAUUUUCAUGUUAACUUCAUUGAAUUUUGAAUCUUGUAUUGGAAGGAUGUCAUUACUAUUGGUGAUGUCACUCUUUUCGUAGGACUACUGUGCAUAUGCCUGAAACAAAGUUGGGACCAUGGGCUAUAAAACAAGUUGCUUAUUUUGGGUUUUGUUUAUCCUUCCACGGAGACUCAAAACAGAGACGACAGAGCCCAACCUUUCCUUUCUCGGUUAGCCUUUCUCUUAAUUACACACGAUCAAAUCAAGGAUUGUUAUGUCUCUCCUCUUCUCCCUUUCUUGUUAAUCUGAAUACUACUUUUUCUCAUCGUAGAAUAUUAUUGUUCGAAAACAUAUACUUUCGUAAAAUUAUAUACGAGUCCAUAAAUAUUUUUGUAACAAUUUAGUUUAUACCUCAAAAUUUGCAACAAUUUAACCUCCAAAUUCUAGCGUUUGUAGUGGAAUCAAUUUGAAACUAAGGAUUUACUUUUUAUGGUAAAAACUAUUUGUAAAAUAUAAUGAAAUUUCUUACAUUAGAGACAUAAAGUAUAAACAAAGUUAUAUAAUACAAAAUGACACCCAACUACGAUGAGAUUUUUCACAACACAGAUUAAAUAUUACAAAUUUAAAUUAAAUAGAUUGAAUUUAUACUUGUUAAAAUUAAUAAACUAAAUUGUUAAUUUAGAAGUCCAUGGAUUGAAUUUCAUGAAAGUUGGAUUUGAUAGAUAACCAUUUUGUUAAUAAAAGUAGGGUUGGGUUUUGACAACGAUUCCAACUCCCUUCCAUUGUUCCUUUUAUGUUCGUUGACUCUUGGAUCCAGUUUACUCUAUGCUAAGGAAGGCAGACUCUUAUCUCAUUUCAUUUUAGUUUCUUAAACUAUCCUUGACUGAACUACCUCCAGAUUCUCUCUUUAAUCAUCGUGCUAUGCUAUGAAAGGUGUUUAGGUCAAGAAGUGAGUUAUUAUAAUCUUUUAGGUUAUUUUAGUUUGAGUUAUAGUAAUGUGUUUGGUAUGUAUGGUUUUAGUUUGAUAAAAAAUAGUAAACUCUGCCUAAUAAAAAAAAUUUGAAGAAUGUUAAAUAGUAAAUACUAUAACAAAUUGAGAGUUUUGAAAUAGUGUUUAAUGUAGUUAAUUGAAAGCUUUUAAAUAGUAUUUAUUAUACUAAGGAUGAUUACCUCAAAGGUUCCUAUAUUUUUGUAUGCUUUCUUUUCCUAUUAUUCUUAAACUUCUAGACUCCUCCAUUCAUCCCUGAAUUUUGAAUCCAUAUUUUCAGGUAAAAUAGUAGUGAAUGUGAACAAAUAAAUACUUUACAGAUGUGCAGUAGAAACCUUAAUGGAGUGCUAUUAAUAUUGGUUAUUGUUAAUUAAUUACUAUUAAAGAGAUGUAAUUAAUUAUAGUAUUAAGUGACCCAACUUGUCUAAUUUGACCUUGACGAAGGAAUUAAUGCGACAUCUUUUGCACAUAAAGUUAAUGGGAGAAAAUUCCUUACUUGUAAGUUUGGUAAAUACUUGAAGACCUGGGCUUUAAAUGAGCAAAUUUAGUGCAUGUUUUGAUUGAUUUUUAAUGUGUCUAGAAGUAGAAAAAAAAGUUUAUAAACACUUGAAAAGUAAAUCAAAAGCACCUCAGAGAGAAAUUGAGAAAUUGUGAUUAUUUGUAUUUGAAUAAUUUGAAUUAUGCAACAGCAUUAAUCUUGAAUGAAAUCACUUCUCUUAUUACAGUUUUUGAUUAUUUGUACAAUUACAAUGUAUUUAAUGAGUUUUGAGAAACAAGAAAAGGUACAAAUUUUCUUAGACUUCUCUAAUAUGUGUAGUUCUUUGCUUCGGCAUCAAUGAUUGUGACGACAGGAUGGAAAUACUUGCAAUGCAUCUCAGGAAUCAACUUCAUAACACCGGCGUUAUGAAGAGGAGAGAUUUCAGCUUCCUUCUACGGUAUUUUCAUCAGUUCUCCACACUAUGUCUUUUAAUCCGGAUGAGAAACUCUUAUAGAACUGCCACAUGCAAAUGAAAAAGCACAUUAAUAUAUACAGUAUUUGGGCCAUUAAGCUUUGGAAUGAGGUAUUUACUUCCAAUUUCAACUAAAAUUACUGAUAUCAUGCCUUGUGAAACUCGAGCGUGUCGCCCCCUGUUUUCCGAAGCUCCACCAUAUGCAGGGAAGGAGCCACUUCAAAGACCUGGAAUUCAAAGGGCAAAAACGCUUGACAUCAGAUCAGGUGUUGACAGAAUGAGGCCUGAUGAUGAUGAGGCCAACUUACGUUCAUUCAGAACUAAGACUCCCUAGAAAUUUGCCCUUUCUUAUCAUAUCGGUACAACAUAGUUUUAAUAUUAGCCAGCAAUAAUAUUACACUUUUAUACCUCAGUAGCUAUGGAGAGGUGUCCUUUCCUCCCAGUCUUGUCCCCUUGCAACUUCAUCUGCAGUGUGAUUAUACCUCAUUACAACUCUUCUAACAAUCACUCAUCUCAGGAAUCAUAUUAUGUAUCUUACACACAUCUUUCAAUAAAAGGUUACCUUGUAGUCCCGCUUUCGUACAUUGAAACCCAUCGGUUUUGCAGUUUCUUCAAUCUUUGACAUGAUUUCGUUUGCAGGGCUUUGCGAAGUAAAACGAGUUUCUCUCUUUGCAACAGUCUACAAAGAAAAAGAUAAUCAUCUAACCAACUACGGUGCAAAUACCCCUCAAGAAAUGGGUUGUCCUCAGCUCAGUUAUUGCAAAAUUAUCGUAUCAUCAGGAAAUUUUUUGGCUUACAAGUUGUAGUCAGGUAGAAUAAGGUGCAAUUUGACAUUAGAGUAAAUGAAAAAUGAUUUAACUCAGUUAUGUAUUGCCAUUUGAUACAUGUGAUAUCAGGCCAUGUUUUUCUUUAGGGUAACAUCAUGAAUCAAUGAUAGUAGGAAAAGUGGGUCCAUUUAAAAUACAUAUGUAAUCCAAUCCAUUUGUAUUUAAAAAUUACGUGAGUCAGACUAACCAAAAUUUCUGUUACUGUUAUAUUAUGAGAAUUACGAAUUUUUCACACUUACUAUAACCAUUAACGGUAAUGAUAAAGGUAAUAGUAAAUAUGACAAAUUUAUAAUUCUAAGUAAACGUGAAUAUAAGCAAUUCAAUUAUGUUUGCGAUUAAGGCAAUACAAUUGUACCUAUUUAUGUAUCUGAAUGGGUAAACAUGAGUACAGUUCACUAACUAUAAAGAAGGAUUAUAGUACUAUGUACUGUAAACGUACC
RNAcentral lists this long non-coding RNA (5338 nucleotides) under Cucumis sativus (cucumber). Its description in RNAcentral is "long non-coding RNA (CSAT_LNC000899)". The record is from RNAcentral. Lineage: Eukaryota; Viridiplantae; Streptophyta; Magnoliopsida; Cucurbitales; Cucurbitaceae.